This is a long non-coding RNA of Saccostrea cuccullata (small rock oyster), 803 nucleotides long. RefSeq lists it as uncharacterized. The record is from RefSeq and is a predicted model, not a curated record. Lineage: Eukaryota; Metazoa; Mollusca; Bivalvia; Ostreida; Ostreidae. The transcript is spliced from 3 exons.
CAAAGACAAUUUUUUUGAAGUUGAAUGAAAUGACAAACAAAUACAAUAAUUCAUAUUUAAAUUAGCACACAUGUAUUUUGUUUAAAUAACGCGGCCAGUAUUAUAUUAAAACUCUUUCUCUUCAUGUAAUAUUUGUGAUCCACUCCCAAUCUAACUUUGAGGCAUUAGAUUAGGAUUGGAUCACCGGUCAGUUUCAGAGUCAUAGUAACCUUGUUAUGCAAUUCUCCUGCUGGGCAGCUCGCUGUAGUACAGUGGUUUGCGGCUGAUCUAGGUCAGAAUUUGAAUUCUGAUAAACAAGAUGUGCGCGUUUUCUUGUUGCCGAUUUAAAAGAAAAGCUUUUGCAUCAUAUAAGCAAUAAAAAUAAGUGCUGGACUAUUAACUCUAUUCUCGCUACCGACAUUUCCAUCUUCAUGAUUAACAUCUGAGUUGCAUUCAAAUUACCAAAUUAAAAAGACCCGCCUUUGUUGAAGACAAAAUUUGUGGUGCUUAUAUACACAUAUAAAGAGCUCAUAUCAGAGGAUAGACUACUUCAUUGGGAGCCCUUUCAGUGUUUGUGAUUCUGAAUAAUAGAUCCACCACUCUGCUGAUUCUGUAGUGAACAAAAGUUGUAAUUAUAUGCUUUUGCAGAAUCAUAAAUAAGCAGUGAUAUCAAUGAGUUAGGGAUUAUUCUUAAAGAAGAAUGGAUUUCUGUGAUUCUGUUCUUAUAAAAUUCAGUGAAUAGUUUGGAUAAUGUUUUAUAUUAAGAUCGUCAUCUUAUUAAGGAAGAUCAUUUGUUGGAAUUAUAUUUAUAUGACGUCAUGGUU